RNAcentral lists this unclassified non-coding RNA (284 nucleotides) under Hevea brasiliensis (rubber tree). The record is from RNAcentral. Lineage: Eukaryota; Viridiplantae; Streptophyta; Magnoliopsida; Malpighiales; Euphorbiaceae.
AAGUUCAAAAGGAUAGUUAACAAGUUUUACACCUGACACUUGUGUGAUAGUAUUACCAGCUAUUGAUUGCUUCCUUAGCUGUAUUACAAUCACACAAAGUGUGUGUUAAAGUGAACCCCUUGUAAAUAUUGGAAGUCCAACUCAAGAGUCUCACGCCACGCUAACAGCCAAUCAUACAACUCUCUGCUCAGAUGACCCAAGCUUCUUUUGAAAUGUCUGUAAUCUCUACUUUUUCACCGGAAAAAAUUGCUUUAAAAAAGGAUCAGCAGCCGCAACUGCCUUUU